Long non-coding RNA from Oryzias melastigma (Indian medaka), 3080 nucleotides. RefSeq lists it as uncharacterized. Lineage: Eukaryota; Metazoa; Chordata; Actinopteri; Beloniformes; Adrianichthyidae. The transcript is spliced from 5 exons. The record is from RefSeq and is a predicted model, not a curated record.
UUUUUUUAAAUUAGAAACCAAAUUUAAAUGUUGAAAAUGAAAACCAAGAAGAAACUGGAAGAGGCUGGUACCUUAGGAUUGGAUGAUGACGUUUGAAUUUUGACCUAAUCUCAGCGGCUUUGAUGAAGAAGGAAAAGCAGAAGGAUUAGAUUGUUAUAAAUAAUUGUCUAUCAUAUUUUCCACACUAUAAAGAGCCUUAAAAGCCUCAAUUAAAAAAAAAAUGAUAGUGCAUCAUAGGCUAUAUGUAUUAAUUCUCUUGUGGUGUUGCAAACAAAAUUGUGUUAUUGUGAAUAUGCAAACAUGGCCAAUGUUUUGCAUUGUCGGACUGGAGUUGUUUUUUUCGUUUUUGUUUUUUUUUUUUUUUGCAUUACUAACAAAGUUUGGAGUUGGUAUAAUCUCUGUAACAUUUGUUUUAGCAGUGUCACUCUGUUUUCUGCAAACAACGUAAUAGUAAAAUAGGCCUACCAUGUUUAAAAUUGUUUUUCCCAUACCAAUUAUAAUUGAUUUAUUUUAUUUUGAAAGGAUUUUAUAAUGGUACAGGUCGAUUUGAUGAACAGCUUGCCUCAGACAGAUUGAUCUGGUUGGAUUGUAGGAAUAAAAAUAAUAACACGGUCCUGGAUUGGUUGAUUUUCUCAGAAUAUCCGGUCCGUUUGGGCGAGUGUUAGAGCUUACCUGAUCUCCAUUCAACUUCAUACUAGGGUCUUUAGCCUUAAAUGAACGGUGGUGCAUCUACAGUGUGUGAGCAAACUGCCACCAGACAGGAAGAAAAACAAAAGACCACUAAUCUGGAAAAUAAAAAAAUAAACAUUAAAAAAUGUCUUGCAAGUAGUUUUGAUGCACUGAAAAAGAAACAUGAGGUGUUGAGUGAGUUUGGUAUCUGGAUGCUGAGGGUCGUUUUUGUCAGGCUUUACCAGCUGCCUGUCCCUCUGUCUCCCUCUGCUGGUCAUAUUGUGUCAGUGCUGUCUUCUGCUGUUUUCUGUUAGGUCUCCACAGGUGUGCUGGAUUACUGGCGGGGACUCCUGGCACACCUGUAAUCCAUCUCCACUCAUCCUGUAUCAGUUUCUGAAUUUCUCAGCCUUCCUUAAAUCUAUAAACUGUUUCCUUCAUUAAGCAGCUUCUUCCUCCUUCAGUCAUAACAGUUUCAGUAACGUGUUUGGACUGAACUACCACUUGCUUUCAGGACGCUUACAGGAAAAGUAUGGAGUAUUCAGAUAAGAACCAGUGGAGGUCUCUCACACUUCACGUUGUAUUGGAGCUACUGACCAAGUCAUGCCGACAAGCCCCAGACUGGGCUUCAUGUCGAAUCAGCAGAAAUAAUGCUGGAGAACCACAUAUACAAAAGAUGUGAAAGCAAGACAAACCACAUUCUUUAUUAGCAUUCCUAGACGUUCCACCAGCGGAACUGUCCCACAGAGGGAGCAACAGGAACUUGAUGAAGUUUCAAAAGAUCAAGAAAGAGAUCAUCUUUCUGGAAACUCAAAGUGAAAGUUAAUCAUUCAGUGGUCCAGCUCUGCCUAUGCAUAUCUCACUUGGAAUGAAUGGAAGGCACGCACGAUGUCGAGGAAUACAGUUUAUUUAUUGUGAAGAGUUCUACAAAAACAUAGACACAGAGGUGACCGCGGGAGAAGUUUGAGGUUAUUGGUGGUUAUUAGAAAGUGCUACGAUCCAGCCUGAUGCCGUGAUUAUUGUCCAACAACAAGCUGGGACACACGGGACAGCCGGAGCUGCAGGCAGGUGUUCUCCCACCUGGCGUUCACACUCACACUCACACACACCAACAUAGCGUAUGUGGCUGCAAACUUGACAACAGUGGAAGUGUGUGUGGUCCCAGGAGCCGGCUCACAGACGGGGCAGCUCUGGAACACACAAACAGAAACGAUGAAUGCAAGGUAACUGGGACAAGGAGCUGCAACAAACCGUAGAAACCAAAAACACAAGAAUUUCAUUCUAAACAAGACAAUUCUCAGCCUUCAGUGUGUGUGCAUGUGACUGCAUGUUACACCGCGGGGUGCUCAUGGAGGUUUUUAAGAAAAUGUUAGAAUUUUAUGGUAUAUGGGUGAAUUUUUCUCAAAAAUUGACCAGAUUGUUUUUGUAGUUCUUCUUUCUUACCGCAUAUUUUAAGAGAAGUUUCGCCCUUGCCCCAUACUCAAAGACUCAAAAUUUGUAAGAACCAUUUAGCUGGCGAAAGGAAAUGUAUGACACAGUGAACAACCCCAAAAAUGACAUCACAGGGGGGUAAAAAUGAAUGAAUGGGGCCAAAAUCUCUUAUGGGGCUCCAAAAGCUAUUUUAAAAUCCACUAAAGAAACCAAAACAUACCUGUCAUCCAAAUGAAUUUUUGAAGUUAUUAUGGGAUGGCCAUGAGACCUACGCCUUGUUGGUCAUUUUGUGACAAAGUGUGAAAUUUGGUGAUUUUCUAAUUUUGCCACUAUACAGGAAAAUGAAACUUUUGUUGACAAAAUUUCACACUUGCAUCUCCAGGUGAAGUCUACAACCAAAGUUGUAUUGACCUUUGACCUCAGGAAGAAGCUGGCAUGUCACCUUCAAGCCAACAGCAAAUUUAAACUCCUCCAAGAGAAUUAAAUCUAGCACCUCAAGCAGCAAAAAUCUUUGCCCUCCAACGAUUGAGUCAAUAUUAGUAUCAUCACUGAGAAAGAUUAAGAAAUCCUCAAUACAGCCUUUAUUUGAUUUAUUAACCUUUAUUUAACCAGGAAGUCCAAUUUAGCUUAAAGUCUCUUACAAGAGAGUCCUGACCAAGACGUCGCAAAAAACCACACAUAAAUUAUUCACAGUUAGAUGAAUAAAACAUUUUAUUCAAAAACAAUUACAAGCAAAAGAAUUGUUCUUUCAUGCUCUCAACUUGAAUGUAAAAUAAUUUAAUGGAAAGAAUUCUGGAAGGAGUUCUUUAAGAAGAAUGACUGGAAUAUGUAUUGUUGAUCCUUUUUUUUGUUAUGGCCUUAAACGCUGCUUUUCUGCCACCCUUAGUAUGUCUUCUGCCCCCCCCUCUUUUAAAUCUUCUGGCUCCACCACUGAUUAAUCUUAUGAUAAUUUAUGUCAAUAAACCUUUUGUUGAUCUGCUGUU